Molecule: unclassified non-coding RNA, 375 nt
Filed under: uncultured Gammaproteobacteria bacterium
Lineage: Bacteria; Pseudomonadati; Pseudomonadota; Gammaproteobacteria
Description: contains 16S-23S intergenic spacer region
Source: RNAcentral
UCCGGUUUGUCACCGGCGGUCUCCUUAGAGUUCCCACCAUUACGUGCUGGCAACUAAGGACAAGGGUUGCGCUCGUUGCGGGACUUAACCCAACAUCUCACGACACGAGCUGACGACAGCCAUGCAGCACCUGUGUUCUGAUUCCCGAAGGCACUCCCGUAUCUCUACAGGAUUCCAGACAUGUCAAGGCCAGGUAAGGUUCUUCGCGUUGCAUCGAAUUAAACCACAUGCUCCACCGCUUGUGCGGGCCCCCGUCAAUUCAUUUGAGUUUCAGCCUUGCGGCCGUACUCCCCAGGCGGGGUACUUCCUGCGUUAGCUUAGACACCGACCCUUGCGGGCCGACAUCGAGCAUCCAUCGUUUAAGGCGUGGACUAC